RNAcentral lists this long non-coding RNA (3208 nucleotides) under Sus scrofa (pig). RNAcentral describes it as "lncRNA (ENSSSCG00000053396.1)". Lineage: Eukaryota; Metazoa; Chordata; Mammalia; Artiodactyla; Suidae. The record is from RNAcentral.
UCUAAAGGUUAUAGCCAGUAUGAUUCCAUUUAAAUAACAUUCUUGAAAUAUCAAAAUUUUAGUGAUAGAGAACAAAUUUGUGGUUGUCAAGGGGGUUGGGGAUUGGGUGGCAGAUGGCAUGAGUCUGUUAAGAGUCAGCAUGAGGGAGCCCUGAGCCAAUGGAACAGUUCUGGAUCUUGAUUGCGGAGGUGGUGACACAAAGCUACAGGUGUGAUAAAAUUGCACAGAACUAUGUACAUACAAAAAUGCGUGCUUAUAAAACUGGUGCAAUCUAACAGGUUCUGUGCAUUCCACCAACGUCAGUUUGUUGGUUUUGAUAUUGGGGAGGCUGGGUGAAGGGUAUUCAUUUUUUUCCCAACCUCCUGUGAAUCUACAAUUGUUUCAAAAUAAGAAACAUUCCUCCUACACACACACACACACACAAGCUGGGAAUUCCCUGGUGGCCCAGCAAGUUAAGGAUCUGGCAUUGUCACUGCAGCAGCCAGGGUUGCUGCUGUGGCAAGGGUUUGAUCCCUGGCCCAGGAACAUGCUGCAAGUGUGGACACACACACAAAAAAAGGCCAGAUAAAAUAUUUUUAAUAGUGAAUUUGUUUUUAUAGGCAGUAUUGUUUGUAUCUAAUGCCACUAAAAAUCUGUUUCGAAAAUAAUGGAUCAAUGUGUUUUGCCUCUAACAGUCAUAAAUAAUUCCUUUAUUUUGGGAUGGGCACUUCUCCCUGAUUAAUACCUAAUAUGAAUAGUGCUUUACAGUUCACACAGGUUUUCACAGGCAUUGUUUCACUGGAAACUAUUAGUCCUGCCGUGGUACUCUGAUUGGUAUCUCCAUUUUAUGGAUGAGAAAACCAAGGCUCAGACCUAAAAACUUUGCACCUUAAUUAAGAAGCAGAGCUCAGCGGAGUUCCCGUUGUGGCUCAGUGGGUUAAGAAUCCGACUAGUAUCCAUGAGGAUGCAGGUUCAACCCCUGGCCUCACUCAAUGGGUCAAGGAUCUGCAGUUGCCGCAAGCUACAGUGUGGGUUGAGGAUGCGGCUGUGGUGUAGGCUGGCAGCUACAGCUCUGAUUCGACCCCUAGCCUGGGAACCUCCAUAUGCCGUGGGUGCAGCCCUAAAAAGACCAAAAAAGAAAAAAAAAAAGGAAACAAAUAAAUAAAUAAAUGGUUGUUUUACAGCACUGAAAAAAAAAAAAGUAGAGCUCAGGGAUUCAGGACCUAGUUCCCCAGAUUCCAACUUUCCCCUCUUCCUCUUUUUCCACCAAUGAUAUAUGUUUGAAUAACUGUUUGGAAAUCCCAAAUUAACCCAAAUGUAGGCUGAUAUUCAGAUUCUGUAUCCACUCUCCCCUCUAGAGGGCUGCGACCUCCCAACCAGCUCCAAGAGGCUAAUUAGCACUGCUUUUGAAAAACUCAAGGUGGACUAAGAGAGAAAAGAAAAUCUGUUGGUUGUUGCUCAUUUGCGGAUGUUUUCCUUGCAAAACCACAUCAAAGCUGGGAAGCCCACCGUGGACUUGGCGGGUAACCAAAGCUCGCUGGCCAAUCUGAGAAGCAGCAAGUUCCAUCAGGCAGAAAACCAUUUUAUCUUCUGGGCCCAGAUUCCUCCCUUAAAACUGAUGGAGGUGGAACAUGCCCCCAGCACAAGGGUCCUAAGCCCCACACAAGCCUGCUUGGGACAGGAGAUGAGCUUCCAGACAAACCCCAUAGAUUGUCAGUGGUGCCUACCAGGUGCAGGGCACAUGGGAUGGCAGAUGGGACCUUGGGACCAGCCCCAUCACAUUCACGUACUAAAACAUGAAAAGGGAGGAGUUCCCACUGUAGCUCAGUGAUAACGAACCCGACGGUAUCCACGAGGAUGUGGGUUCGAUCCCUGGCCUUGCUCAGUGGAUUAAGGAUCUGGCGUUACCAUGAGCUGUGGUGUAGGUCGCAGAUGUGGCUCAGAUCUGAGUUGCUGUGGCUGUGCUGUAAGCAGGUAGCUGCAGUUCCGAUUUGACCCCUAGCCUGCGAACCUCUAUAUGCUCCAGGUGUGGCCCUAAAAAGACAAAAAAAAAAUAAAUAAAUAAAUAAAUGAAAAUGGGUUUUCGUCUUCCUGAAAGGCAUUAUCAAACACAUGUUCAUUGUUUUGGGAAGAAUAACCAGAGGGGCCAUCGUGUUAGAAGCUAAGCGUGUGUUCUGCAGGGCCAUGAGGGAAGCACACAGUAAAACUGCCCUAGGUCCCACCCCCUCCUCCCCAAACAGCUUGCCAGGAAAUCCCAGCAUUCAGAACACAAAGAGAAACCUCUCCAGGGAGGAGUCCAGAUUUGAUGUGAAGGAAACAUGGGAUUUACAGGUUCCAAGUGUGGGAGUUGGGGGGCGGGCUGUCCUGGGGAGGGCAUUUCAGCAAGAGGACCAAGGACACUCAGCUGGGCUGUGGAUGCUCCAUCUCUCUGCAGGCAGUUGUGUUCCCAUUCAUCCCCUAGGCUACGCCCUGAGCUUCUUGGGGGCUGGGUCCGUGGCUUUCAUCUUUAUAUAUUCCAAGUCUCUAGCACCCACCGUACCUGCUAGAGACUUGGAAUAUAAAGUCUCUUGGCAGUUAAUAGGCCUCAAUACACUUUGAGUGAAAGAACAGCUUAGGGUCUUAGUAACAGACUCAUCAGUGAUUUCUGAGCUGUGGCGGUGACACAAUUUUACCUAUGUUUUAGGAACGCCACCCCUGCCUAAGCUCUGGCCAUAGGAUGAGAUUUGGGGGAUUUUAACUGGGUAUUCCAAAUCUGAGAGGAUAAGACAAGUCACUUUCAUCUUUCCUCACCCCCCAGUUUGACCUCUGGUCCUGUAAAUAAAGAGCCCAAUUAAGGCUUGGGGCAGAUGGGAUCUGAAAGGCCUCGGGCUAUGGGGAGAUCUGAGGUUUCAACAAAAUGUGACUGUCAUCUUCCCAUUCAUUGUGCCUUUCAGGAACCUUGGACUUGAUAAAUCUGUGUGGAUUCAUUAAAUGAAAAUACCUGGGGAAUUUCAUAACUAUGGCGAGCACUUUUCGGUUUAUCGCAUUUUUUUCUCUCUUCUCUUGUUAGAAGAAUUCUUCUCCAUAUAAAUCUUGGUGAGGGAGUUCCCUUUAAGGACCUGAUCUAGUCUACGUGAGGAUGCAGAUUCGAUCCCUGGCCUCGCUUGGUGGGUUAAGGAUCUGGCAUUGCCACAAGCUGCAGUGUAGGUCACAAACUGGGCUCAGAUCCAGUGUUGCUGUGGCUGUGGCA